Molecule: transfer RNA, 72 nt
Filed under: Camelus bactrianus (Bactrian camel)
Lineage: Eukaryota; Metazoa; Chordata; Mammalia; Artiodactyla; Camelidae
Also listed under: 1 other name
Rfam family: tRNA
About the family: Transfer RNA (tRNA) molecules are approximately 80 nucleotides in length. Their secondary structure includes four short double-helical elements and three loops (D, anti-codon, and T loops).
Source: Rfam by way of RNAcentral
GAGGGUGUAGCUCAGAGGUAGAGUGCAUGCUUAGCAUGCACGAGGCCCUGAGUUCAAUCCCCAGUACUUCCA